GACACGCUCCUCCGAUGACCCGGGAAUGGUUUAUUCCAAGUUCAAGGCGGCCCGACGGAGCCAGAAAGGGAACUCUGGGAAGAGACACAAGCCACGGCUCCUCGAGACGGCUCCAACACUCACCUCUCUGGGGUUUUGGCAAAUAAUUUAACGACCGUUAGGGCUUCGCUCUCGUAAUCUGAGAAGAGGCGAUCAGGGGCUGGGUCCUGCGUCUUAAGACCGUUAGGAGAGUCCAGAGAGGAAAUGAAUACAGAUGCACUUCUCUGUGACUGAGACCCACAGGGCCGGCCAAGGGACUUGCUGCUGGACCACUCCCACUGUUGCCCUUUACGCGUCUGUGGGAAACAUUUGCAGGCUAUUCCGCAGUGGCCCGGACAGGGCGUCUCGAAGGUAUCCAGUGAAUCUGUGACCACUGCCUACUGCAUUGGAGAUCUGGGACACGUGUCUCGUAUUGUCUUCCUGAACGGCUUUGUUGAUGGAAAUAGACCCCAAACCAGGAACAAAAUCCUCGCAGCAAUCUCUGCCGGCCAGAUACAUCCCAGCGGGUUAAACGCUAGCAGGCUCUCAUCCACAACCAAAGACAGAGGGACGUUGUAUCCUGCCACGAGCAUACAGAAGGUUGAAAUCAACUUCAUAUUUACAGAUGAACGAGAAAUAACCACAGGGGCUAUCGCUCAAGAGAGUUUAAUCCUCCGAACCUGGGUUCACUGAAUGAAACUACCACGAUGUUGCUGAAACGCAGCUGAGUAUAAGCGGUUCCUACCGUUGCCAGAAGUUUCUGGGGCGAUGUGGCACCACCUGAGGGGCCCCCAGGCCUUCCAUUUCAAAACGAGGAGUCUCGAGCCUCAACGGAUGGCUCCAGUUUGCCAUAACUAGAAUGUUCCAACACGGAUUCCAGUCCCUCUGAUUCCCGAGUCCAAAUCUCUCCCGGACACCCCCCACCUGGGCUGCCUCUCGUACUGAGCUCAGGAAUACUGCCUCAGUGAUACGUCUGGGACCAUGUCUGGGGCCGGGUGAGGACCAGACACAGGCCACGGUCUGGUGGAAGGGGAAGCCCCAGGAGAUUGGCUGCCAUCGCCAAGCUGGCUCCGUGCCCACCGUCCAUCCAGCCUGCAGACGACAUCAGUAGGCAUCCCUGCUCCCCUUUUGUUACAUAGGAGACCACGGCUUGAAAAAACAAGCUAGCAUUUUCGGGAAAGGUACAGCUGGGAUUAGGACGCAGUCAAACCUAACACCAAAGUCCUGGGCUAGUUCCCUCCUGUAUUUGUUUUUUUACGUUUAAAUGCGCUUAAUGGUUUAUGGCACUUCGAUAAAUACCAAAUGCGGAAACUCAGGGUUGUUGUUUUUUUUUUUUUUUUAAUUUAUGAAGUUGAGGUAUUUUCCACACUUACACCAGAGAGUGUUGUUGACUAUAAAUGAACCAUCGCUCAAGUAGCUUAAUCCGAAUGGGAAAUUAAAACGGCUGGUAAUGUAGAGAUUGCUUUCUUGAGACAGGAUCGCGUUCCUGACAGCACACACUCCAGUUUCCAGGCUGGUAAAUCCAAUCGUUUCACUGUCGAAUAUUCUAGCUCUCCCAUAAUAAAUGCUCAUUCUGUUUCCAUAUGCUGGACAGAUGACUGGCAAAUUUACCCUUUUUAGAAAUCUUAGAUUAAUCCACGUUAAUUUAAUUCGUUGCAUUUAACUCCUGAAAUUCUGUGACAAAUGCAGCCCAGUAUCACAGACAUAGCUCAAUGAGAUUGGACAACUGGACAGAGGUCACACAGCCAGGAUGGGGCAAAGCCAGGACCCCAGCCCUGCUGUGUCCAGCUUGUGCAACCAGGUUGGCUCUAUAAAGAGAUUUUUAAAAGCAGUCUGAGGCCCCCAUUUUCCUUUCAUCUUUUCUGCCCCCGUCCUCUAUAUCUGAUUAUUAAUUUGCAGUAUUUUACAGUCACAAAUAAACUGUUUUAUGCUGAA
Molecule: long non-coding RNA, 1953 nt
Organism: Neofelis nebulosa (Clouded leopard)
Lineage: Eukaryota; Metazoa; Chordata; Mammalia; Carnivora; Felidae
Exons: 3
Source: RefSeq, a predicted model, not a curated record